RNAcentral lists this ribosomal RNA (484 nucleotides) under uncultured bacterium. RNAcentral describes it as "partial 16S ribosomal RNA". It matches the Rfam family "Bacterial small subunit ribosomal RNA", at positions 30 to 507 of the family's 1533-position model. The record is from RNAcentral.
AUUGAACGCUGGCGGCAUGCCUUACACAUGCAAGUCGAACGGCAGCGCGGACUUCGGUCUGGCGGCGAGUGGUGAACGGGUGAGUAAUACAUCGGAACGUACCCUGUUGUGGGGGAUAACUAGUCGAAAGAUUAGCUAAUACCGCAUACGACCUGAGGGUGAAAGUGGGGGACCGCAAGGCCUCACGCAGCAGGAGCGGCCGAUGUCUGAUUAGCUAGUUGGUGGGGUAAAGGCCCACCAAGGCGACGAUCAGUAGCUAGUCUGAGAGGACGAUCAGCCACACUGGGACUGAGACACGGCCCAGACUCCUACGGGAGGCAGCAGUGGGGAAUUUUGGACAAUGGGGGCAACCCUGAUCCAGCAAUGCCGCGUGUGUGAAGAAGGCCUUCGGGUUGUAAAGCACUUUUGUCCGGAAAGAAAUCGCGCUGGUUAAUACCUGGCGUGGAUGACGGUACCGGAAGAAUAAGCACCGGCUAACUACGUG